AGAGAGAGAGAGAGAUUCUAUUACAUACGUUCAUACACACAUACAUUCAAGCUCAACCAAUGUUGCCUCAUCUCCCUGAUGAAGACUGCAGCCUCAGCUCCAUGUUGUCGCUCUUAGUGGGUAAUCAUCGGUGAGUUUCAUCGGUCCAGUCUCACUCUUCUUCUGCAAAUUUCUCCCUUAACAGCAUGAUCACAGCCCACACCAUCUUUUCUAGGAGCCUGCUCUUAGUGGAUGGAUGGAUGGAUGGAUGGAUGGAUGGCUCUUUGUGGAUAAAGCUGCAGAAUGUGGUGCUAGUGCUCGUCACAAAUGGCAAGAUUCAUGGAGACAGCUGAGGAAAACACCUGUGACAAACUCCUGAAAGGUAAGAAAUCCUUUCUCCUACUUCAUUUCUUAAAGAAAUUAAGAAACUGUACGACUUGUUAGGAGGUUACACCCCCAGCUUUGUCCUGCUCACCUGGGAUCUCUUAGCCAAGGAUGCUCAGUUCACAGGGGAUUUACCUCCUGCUUACACCAGCCUUUCAUUAAAGUUGCUUCUCUGUGCAGAAAAGAAACACAACACCAGUUUGUAUUGUGAGUUGCCUCACUUCACACACUGUGGUGUUUUUAAUGCACAUACGGGCUCAGUUUUUAUUUACUCAGAUGCAAGAGUGGAGGAAGUAUUCAAAUAUGUUAGUGUAGGCUCAAAAACAAUCCACAAGACAAGAUAAACUGCUGUGUUUAACAUUUCUCUCCAGUAAAUGUGUUGAUACAGUAUGUUUGGAUUAUUGUUACUAUUACUUAUUUCUUUUUUUAAACAAUAAGCAAGCAAUACAGAAUUUAACACACAAUUAAAACAUGCAAAAUACAAAUAUACAGAACUUUUGUUCUAUUUUAGGUGUUGGGACAGGUUGCUGAUUUUCCUUGCAUUUAAAUUUAACUUAUUUCCAUGUAUUUGUAAUUUACUUUUUCUUGCGACUUUUGACUUGAGUCCUUUAACUGAAAUUGUCAAGAAAUUUAGUGUAGUAACGUGUAACAUUUACCUCUGACCUAUGGAGAAGCUGCAGAAUGGGGUAGUAUGAAAUUAAAAUAUUAUUCCUGACAAAUGCCCACUGAUGUUUCAUUUCACUUUUGAUUUCUUCACAUAAUUUAAAGAACCUUCUGGAGAGUCCCAGAGAAGAUGGCCUUCUGGAGUAGAAAAACUCACAUCGGUAAGAUUUGUUUUUCUGUAUCUUCUUGGUUUGGAGUUAACAGGUUGAAACUUGUGCAGAAAAAGUGAAAUGUUAUUGUUUGUCUGGAAAUCAGCUUUUCCUCUCACAGUUCCACCGGUAAUCCACAACCUACGGAGUAUACGCCAUGCUGUUGUGGAGAAACAAUGUGUUAUGUUCACAAACCUUUUAAUUAUAUGUUUAAGCAGACCUCUAAAGAUCAGAAAGGUGUCUUAAUAAUUAAUGGUCAUUGUAGCAGGGUGAGGACAGUCUGUUGUGUGAGAAGGUCUCCUCUGUGUACAUGCGCUCUAAAUAAUUCAACAACGAUUUAACCUUGUUGGAUCUGACAGUGUGCUGAUAAUGUAGACCUCUCAUGAAUGUUUUCACCAUGCUGCUGCGGUCUGAUAUUUAUUUUGUUGUUUGUGAGUCAGUGUAUAUAUUGACUGUUUAAAAAGCGUGACUUAAGAUAAUCAUGAAUCUUAAUGCAUUAUGUUGACAAAUGAAGCAGGAAGUAAAUGCUGAACAGGAACUGAAAAAUGAAGCCUUUACUAUCAUACUUAUAUUAAGUGUCCUGGUGGAUUCAUGUGUAUUGAUCACAUAUGUGUGUUAAUAGUGAAAUAUAAAAUUUCAACCACAGGACAGUUCUUUCUCAUCAUUUUGUGGAUAAAGGCAUAAUUGUGUUCAUAGAGAAUGGUUUGUGGAAGUGGCUUUGAGCCCAUGCGGUGGUUUUCACUGCAGAGUCACGUCAAACUUCACUCUGAUAACAAGCUGGGCCCUCUCUUUGCAAAUACGAGUACAUGGUGUCCAUGAUUUCCAAAAACAAAUGACCAGAAGGCAAAAGACCAGAGGCAUCUUCCCAUACAGUUCUCAACUAAGUCCAUCUUAAAGUGAACCUGAAAUCUCAUGUACUGUACAUGUUAAAGAAGUUUUUUCAGACAAAAUCUUCAUCCUGUUGUUUCCUGACAAUGAAAGUUAUCACUCACUGUGAGUCUUUGUCGUGUAAAAAGGCCAAACGUCUAUUUUUCAGCCUGCUGUCAAUCAUCUUGUCUGACAUCUAGAAAUCACCACAGUGAAAUCAUCAGACUUGUUGCUGAUGGUCUUUUUUUUGCUUUUGAAUGUCAUUAGAAAACAGAAGGUAUGGAGUUAAAGCAGUCUGACCUUCUCCUACUGACAUGUAACAAACACGGACGUCAUUGAAGUCAGAUAGCCUGAACGAGUGACAUCUGCCAGCAGGUGACUAAGUGCUGCGGUUGGCACUGCUUCCUCCCAACAAGUGGGUUCAGGGUUUGGUAAGAGGUUACAGCACUCCCUUUUUGGGGCAAGACAAUUCUUGCUUUUUCAUACUUAUAUGCAGAUCUUGACUCGUACAGACAAGAAUGAACUUGUAAAUUAUACAACCUGAACAGGAGGGAGGUGUGUUUACACAACGAUCAGAUCUACUUCUAUACAGGAAGUAGGUUCGGAGCUUGUAGCCAGGCUUGGGCCUUCAGUUUUUGGAACAAAGUUGUUCUGGCCUUUCCCCACUGGAAUGUUGAACAUGAUUCAAAGUACUUGUCAUUGUAAGUAAAAAAAGACAUCAGCAUGUGACACCUACCAGCUGGUAACUUGGCACAAUGGUUAGCACUGCUGCCCCAAGGGGCAAGUUAAAGUUCAUUCAGGGUUAAAGGCGAGAGCGUCUCCCUGUAUGGAGCAGGAAGGUUUUUGUUUUCUCCUACUUGAGUGUCUACCCUGUUUUUGAACCGCCAGAAUGGACUUGUAGGUGAAAUUACCCGAACACACAUUAAUUGUGUUGUUAUUCUACAGUGAGCUCUGCUGCCGAUUGAGAUGUUGGCUCUGGUUUAGGUUAAAGGAAUGUACUUGAAAGUCACAAAUAAAACUGCUGGGCAGGUGUGAGCUGGCGGUUAGAACUGCUUUCUGGUUCUACUUACAAAUCCCAGACAUGUUUGGCGGAAUGAGAGGCUUGAAUACUUGAUUUAUUUCUAAACCAUCACAAUCUUAUCUUAUAAACUUGUCUGCUGAUGACUCUGUGUUCUCUGUAUCUAGAGAAGGAGCGCCUUGUGAAAGCCAAUGCAGGGGACUACAACGAUAAAUUCCAUUAUGCAGUAAGUAGACCUGAAAAUGUUUUUACAUCUUCUCCAUCCACAUGUCAGCUUGUUUUAUCCCAACAUUUUUGCCGUUCAAAUAUGUGGGAUUGUUUUCAGGACAACCGCAUCAAAACCUCAAAAUACAACAUGAUCACCUUCCUGCCCAUCAACCUGUUUGAGCAGUUCCAGAGGGUGGCCAAUGCUUACUUCUUAGUGCUGCUGAUACUCCAGGUAAAACACAUGCCGUCUUUUAUCUACAUUUGGCCUCUA
Molecule: long non-coding RNA, 3538 nt
Filed under: Xyrichtys novacula (pearly razorfish)
Lineage: Eukaryota; Metazoa; Chordata; Actinopteri; Labriformes; Labridae
Source: RNAcentral